Molecule: transfer RNA, 72 nt
Filed under: Marmota monax (woodchuck)
Lineage: Eukaryota; Metazoa; Chordata; Mammalia; Rodentia; Sciuridae
Rfam family: tRNA
About the family: Transfer RNA (tRNA) molecules are approximately 80 nucleotides in length. Their secondary structure includes four short double-helical elements and three loops (D, anti-codon, and T loops).
Source: Rfam by way of RNAcentral
GGUUGUGUAGCUCAAUGGUAGAGUACUUGCCUAGCAUGUAUGAGGCACUGGGUUCAAUCCUCAGCACCACAU